Molecule: long non-coding RNA, 450 nt
Filed under: Mytilus galloprovincialis (Mediterranean mussel)
Lineage: Eukaryota; Metazoa; Mollusca; Bivalvia; Mytilida; Mytilidae
Source: RNAcentral
CCCUGAAUCGUUAGAGCCAUACUGAAAACAGUGUCUGCAUUCAUUUUUAUAAUCCAGAAGCAUCUCCUGUCGAAUGGCAUUUUUGUUUGGCAAGAUUGGAAUUAGUCAUGUGAAACCUCAAAUUAAAUAAAAUAUGAUGAAUAUGUUUUUAUAACUAAAUGGAUAGUUUUCAUUAUAAAGCUGAUGUACAUAUACUUUUUUCGGAAAAAAAAUCUUUAUUUUGUGCACAUUUAGAAGAGAAGUUUUUUUUAAUUGCUUGCUUCCAGGAAGCAAAAUGCCGACAUAUUUGCUGUAUGCAAGCAAUUUUGGCGUGACCCUUCUUGUAAAAAUCCAGUGAGUGCAAUAUGCAUGGAUCUAUCAUUUAAAUAAACUAUUAUCUGAUUGUAUAUGUGAUCAAUAUCCAUGCUUCUUUGUUGGUUGUUUACUGUAAGGUGAAAAUCGUUAAACUUC